UUAUAUUUCAAAACGUCAUU
RNAcentral lists this small nuclear RNA (20 nucleotides) under Arabidopsis thaliana (thale cress). Its description in RNAcentral is "snRNA_18225". Lineage: Eukaryota; Viridiplantae; Streptophyta; Magnoliopsida; Brassicales; Brassicaceae. The record is from RNAcentral.